Molecule: unclassified non-coding RNA, 375 nt
Filed under: uncultured Rubrobacterales bacterium
Lineage: Bacteria; Bacillati; Actinomycetota; Rubrobacteria; Rubrobacterales
Description: contains 16S-23S intergenic spacer region
Source: RNAcentral
UCCGGUUUGUCACCGGCAGUCUCGCAUGAGUCCCCAACUAAAUGCUGGCAACAUGCGACGGGGGUUGCGCUCGUUGCGGGACUUAACCCAACAUCUCACGACACGAGCUGACGACAGCCAUGCAGCAUCUGUGGUGCACCCUCGAAGGUCACACGUUUCCGUGCGCUUGCAGCACCAUGUCAAGCCCAGGUAAGGUUCUUCGCGUUGCAUCGAAUUAAAGAACAUGCUCCGCUGCUUGUGCGGGCCCCCGUCAAUUCUUUUGAGUUUUAGCCUUGCGGCCGUACUCCCCAGGCGGAACACUUAUCGCGUUGGCUGCGGCACAGAGGGAUUCGACUCCCCCCACACCUAGUGUUCAUCGUUUACGGCUAGGACUAC